AAUAUAUGAACUAAGCCUAGGAGGAGCUCGAACAUUACAUAUAUAGGCUAUACUACUUAGGAGCUUAUCACAAUUACAAUAGAUGUUUUCAAAGAUUCUUGCAUUCCUUUCUAACCAUAAACCAUAGAGCAUUCUGUUAUUGUCAUCUUGAAUGUGUGAGCUCGGAGAGAUUUCCCUUUAGAUUGUUCAAUGAACCAUUGGCAGAAUUGUGACCAAUCUGUCCAGUGCUGCCACUCCUAGCCAUUGCAGUGUCUGGUAUCUCAACUGGGAAGCCAAAUUGCAAUGCAAGAAUAAAUGGCCUCUAGUUUCCAUUUCUUGCUGGCACAUAACACAGAUGCCUGGUAU
Molecule: long non-coding RNA, 345 nt
Filed under: Nicotiana benthamiana
Lineage: Eukaryota; Viridiplantae; Streptophyta; Magnoliopsida; Solanales; Solanaceae
Description: long non-coding RNA (NBEN_LNC035531)
Source: RNAcentral